Long non-coding RNA from Haemorhous mexicanus (house finch), 1683 nucleotides. RefSeq lists it as uncharacterized. The record is from RefSeq and is a predicted model, not a curated record. The transcript is spliced from 3 exons. Lineage: Eukaryota; Metazoa; Chordata; Aves; Passeriformes; Fringillidae.
GUUCAGCAGUGCCGUGCUGCCAGAAAUGCUCGCUGAGCCCGUGCGAGGGGGAAAUCUUACCAGAACUGCUGAGAUUACCCCAGAACGACCCUUUGCAGACUGACUCCGCAUCCUCAGAGCUGAUCUGAUCGGGGCCUACCAAAGACAUUAACGACGUCGAAAGUAGCUUACUUUAAGAGAAAAUAUGCAGAAGAAGAACAUUUACAUCAAGAUUACCAUGAGUAUUGUCCAAAACACCUGAUACUACCAGAGGACCGGACUUGUAUCCUAAAACUGUCUCUCCAGAAACUCCGCUUCCUGGACGACCCCGAAGCCUAUCUCCGUAGGUCUGUAUUAAUUAACAAUCUGUUGAGGAAGAUCCACCUAGAGACAGAGAGGGAGAGCUAUGAAUACUUUAAGGAGGCUCCGUGCUAUAGGACUGCCUACUCUGACGCACGAAAACGGCUGAAGCUGAUGGUGCAGGAGUGCUGUUCCCAGUCGCUCUAUUAUGAAGAGCUGCACUCGUAUCGCAUCGUGCCUUACUCCGCAGAGAGCGCCGUCUACGGCAUGGGCUACACGGGCAGCCACCUGGAGCAAAAUUCUCAGUUGCUUAUUUAUAAAAUGAAUUAAAAGUAGCUGUUAGACCCACUGAUGUUUGUUUCUGAAUGCUUGGACUGCUUGUUGAGGUGUUGAGGUGAGGCACUAAUUGCAGAUGUGUUUGCCAUCGGGAGGCGGAGAGGGAGCUGAGUGGAAGGUGCUUUGGAUAAUGCUCUGUUAACCCCCCCGGUGUGAAGCAGCUUGCUGUACACACAGAGAGGUGCAAUACAGAGGUCCUAAACCUGCAGAGACUGCGUGCAAGGCGGUUUGUAGAAACAAAGCUGCACUUAAAGUUACCUGUGUGUAGAUACGGAUGCUCCGAAUCCCUUUCACAGUUAAAUUCCGCCAUCCCCGGUGCAAGGGGAGCCCCCGAAGCAGUGGAGUAGUCUAACAGUGAGGAGUAGAACACAAGUUAUCUGCUGUAAAGGUAUAGACAGAAAGUUUCUUUGAGAAUUGCUUUGACCAUGAAGGAGUCAGUGCCAAAGGAAUCAGUCUUUAGCUUAGGAUUUUCAGAGACUGAACUCGCUUGCUACUUACAGACACUCUGUACUGAGAUUUGCAAGGGUUUGUGGGUUGGUUUUUUAAAAAAAUAAUUGCAUUCACUUUUUACUUAUAUUAUCUCUUAGCUGGUAUCUACUUUGCUACUUUAAUACAAACCAGAAUGACUCACAGGAAAGAUUGUUUCUUCAGCCCAUCAUCAGUGUUCCCUUAACUUCAUUUGCCUCUUUCCCUAGCUGUUUCCCUGAAUACUUCUUUGCAUGCUAAUUCGCUGUUUGGCCCGAGGUUCACACUGGUGCUAGGGAAUAGACAGCAAUUUCUUUUUAUGUGGACUAUAAAAGGCAGAAAACAAUGAUAACUCUCAUAGAUAGAGAAUGAAUGUAUCUGACAGAUGAUGGUAAGACCUCAGAGGCUCUCCUGAUAAAACUGCUCAGCAUUAGUAAAAGUGUUUCAGGUUAAGUGAAAUGUCUAACUUCAAUCUGGGAAUUAACUUUAAAAUAUGUAAAUAUAUAUAUUUCACAAGCUAUGGCAUGUGGGAUGUUCAGCAAAUGGAAUGACUACAAGUGGAAAGUUUCACAGCUGCCAAAGCUACGUCAUGAAAAUACCAAA